UUACUAUUACGCUGCACAAAUUUCUUCAAUGAUGUAUAAUAACUAAGUAGUAGGCGUUAUCAUGAAGCCUUCGACCAUGAAUAUUCAGAGUAAAAGCUAAAAUUUCUGAACGCAACGGCCACGUUCCCGCGAACAGAACUGUCAACUUCAUUGUGUUUAUUCAUGUAAGCCGACGACCAUUAGGGCAUAAUAAAAUAAAACGUUUUUAACUGAAAAUAACAGUAAACAUUUUAUAAGAAAGCGAACGAAUGUUUAAUGCAUACAUAACUAAAAUUCCGAAAAGGAACAUAAACGUCGGCAAGUGAAGAAUGAAGCGAGUUAAUUUUGACUUUGUUGGAAGGAGGCACCGCGCCAGAAGGUUGAAUAUGGGAAUAAUCCUUCUAGGACAAUCUUGUUGUUUGCUUGCAGAUAUAUAAUUACGAACAUUACAAAACAACAAUGACCCGGACAAGAUUAAAAAAAAAAAAAAAAAAAAAAAAGUCUGCCUUGUUAAAUUACUGGUGCUCUGAAGAUGAACCCAGAGACUCAAGCUGUGGCUGGUGAGACGUUUGUCAGUUGGGAACAAGGCUAGGUAUCGAAAUGAAACAAAAUAAAGUUUCCUGUGACCUGUUCCCUCACUGUGAUGAUUUAGCACUCAAUAAAUUGUCUGCUGUAACCAGCUAUGAAAAGGUAAUGUCACUCUUAAGUGACCACUGGUUUUUUUUGUGUGAUUAUUAUCACUGAGAAUCUUACCUAAGGCAGCUGUUCAAUUAUUAAAUCACAAUCAAUGGCAUAAGAGGUUUUUAAAUCAUUUACUUAAACAUGCUGUUGACAAGUGGUGUUUUAAGAAAGUUUAGCAGAAGUACUAAUGACUUAUAAAUUAUUGUAAGUCCUAAAGCCCGGUACUUUAAACUUCAAGGGCUCAACUAUCAAUAUUUUUUUCUAAUGUAUGUUUUGCUGUUGCUUUUCUUUGUUAUCAUAUUAUAAAGUAUUUAUUACUUAUUUACUAACAACAUACAAAAACCCUGGUCAAAAGCAGCAAUAAGGAAACGGAGCAACACUUUCCCCUCUGUGUCACAAUGUGGUCACACUCAGCGACACCACAACAGCCUGUGUUCAUUUAGAACAAAUUCUUGAAAGUUGUGGUUAACUUAAAUACACUUUUUUCAGUGCAAUGACAUCAUAUUUACAAGGAGUCAAGGAUUUUGUCCUGGUUAAUCAUACAAAAUUCCCUUGUGAUCUGUGCCAAUACCUACAGUUAUUCUGAAAAAUGAUUACUAUUGAGCAAUCGACAGUCAAUACUAGGAAGUUAUGUGACUGUGAUAUAUACUGUGUGUACAAAAUAUAUGCCUAUGAUGUUCUUACACAAGAAUAUACACUUUACACAGCUUAAUAUUUAACUAAAACAUUUUAUGUACAAAACCCUAAGGGAAGUAAAUACAGUUAUAUUUUUAAUAUAAGUAAAUUGAUUGCAACUAAGCAGUUUAAGUUAACAAAGCAUUGGAAUUGCCAUGAAACUAAUUGUUGCAUGAACACUUUUUACUUGAUUUUAUGAGUGUAGAAAAUAUCUCUGAUUCAUGUGGAAAGCUGAGAUUACAGUUUUAAGUCCUGUCAUUAGACUAUUUGACUAUAUGUCUCUCUAGCUAUGUGUCAGACCUUUCAUGAAGUGUCCAAGAUCUAGAGGUCACACAAUGAGCAACUGUUAGAUGUUAUAUCUAUUGUCCUUAUGAUAAAUGUUUUUUAGACUAUGUAGGUACCUAUACAAGAUGCACUCUAUUAUUCUUGAUACCAUAUGGAGCUAGGUAUAAUCAAAUUAAACUAGCUCCUUAGUACCUUAGAAAGCUGUCUAAUAUCUGGACUUAUUUCUUUACCCAAUAAGAAAUAAUGUCAACAUAUCACCUAGUGUGACUUAUUUUGGUGGCUAAUUGAAAGUAAAGGGUUAUAAAUAUACUUUUUGAAGAUAUUUAUUUACUAUACAGUAAUAGUUUAUCGACCUGCUGGGGCAACCGUGUGGAAAUGAGUUAUCUGUGGGAUUAUGGAAGGAGCCUAUUAAUAGAAUACAUUACAUUAAUUUUAUUCACCUUAAUGGUGGUCUUUAUAUUUAAAGACGUUUCUUUCCGAUUUACCAGACUGACAUAUUUCUGAGAAAAUACAACACAGCUAUCUCAAUUAUAAACCGCUUUGGUGAACUGAAAUACUACUGUACAAUAUUUUUACCUCAAAACAAUGUUGAGGAACAAUUGGCAUUGGUGUGAAACGAGACAUAACAAUAUUAGUCUUAAAUAUUAUAGAUGAACUGUGUCAUAGCUGAUUGAGAGAUAACUAUAUAAGAUUUCGGAGAUUAAACGUAAAUUAAACAACGAAUAUUUAGAAAUUUCCUGCAUCAUUUUGGAACUCAUAUACCGAGUUAUUGGAGUCGCGCAGAUGAAAUAUGUGAACGCUAUAUAUAUCCUGGUGUAGUAACCCAGAUAUUUUUUCUACAUAGAUGCUUGCACAUUUUCUUUGAUGAAUUAUUUUAUCUAUGCUUUCCUUCCAUUCGAAAUGAAAUUUAAGGUACCUAUUAAAGUUUUAGGAAAAGCAGAAGACAUGGCAAUAACCAUAUUGUACACAGUUUUUACAAAUACUUACAUGUUACAUACAAUUGUAUAGAUUUGAGCCCCAGCUCACAUUUAUAAAAACUUAUUCCAUUAACCGGCAGUUUCAGUAGUGUCCUUGCCUGGUUACCCCGGUGUUAUCCGGGAAGUUCCAUCACUGAAGCAGCGGAAAAGAGGAGAAGGAGAAAGGAGGAACUUUCGAUUGGUGCGGCCAACAGCAUGGUGGGGUGGAGUCUCUUAUGCCCAACACCGUCAAGCAGUAUCGUAAACACUUGAAACACUGGUAUUUGUGGGCCAAGCUGUUCCAUCUGUUGCCAUAUUCACUGCCAGCAUGAGCUACGAGCAUAGCGGAUACCAAGUGUUUUUUCCGCUUUGUAGCGACAAGUGCCUGAGAAUAGAGAACCCUAGCAGGUUACUGGCAGUGAAAGUGUUGUGUCUUGGCUUGUUACUCUAAACUAAAUGAAGUUGACAGUUCUGUUCGCGGGAACGUGGCCGUUGCGUUCAGAAAUUUUAGCUUUUACUCUGAAUAUUCAUGGUCGAAGGCUUCAUGAUAACGCCUACUACUUAGUUAUUAUACAUCAUUUCGAAAUUUGUGCAGCUAAUAUAAUUAGAAUUGAACUUCACUUACAGGUAAGUUCGUUUAAUUUCUAAGCAUAACUUUUCCAUCUUU
Long non-coding RNA from Cydia pomonella (codling moth), 3243 nucleotides. RefSeq lists it as uncharacterized. The record is from RefSeq and is a predicted model, not a curated record. Lineage: Eukaryota; Metazoa; Arthropoda; Insecta; Lepidoptera; Tortricidae. The transcript has 3 exons.